RNAcentral lists this ribosomal RNA (253 nucleotides) under uncultured bacterium. Its description in RNAcentral is "partial 16S ribosomal RNA". It matches the Rfam family "Bacterial small subunit ribosomal RNA", at positions 524 to 776 of the family's 1533-position model. The record is from RNAcentral.
UACGAGGGGUGCAAGCGUUACUCGGAAUUACUGGGCGUAAAGCGUGCGUAGGUGGUUGUUUAAGUCUGUCGUGAAAGCCCUGGGCUCAACCUGGGAAUUGCGAUGGAUACUGGGCGACUAGAGUGUGGUAGAGGAUAGUGGAAUUUCCGGUGUAGCAGUGAAAUGCGUAGAGAUCGGAAGGAACAUCUGUGGCGAAGGCGACUAUCUGGGCCAACACUGACACUGAGGCACGAAAGCGUGGGGAGCAAACAGG